CACAAGCAAGUGGCUAUCAGGACUCAGUGGCCGAGUGGAUAACGCGAUGGCGUUUGAAGCGAGGGU
RNAcentral lists this transfer RNA (66 nucleotides) under Schistosoma mansoni. Lineage: Eukaryota; Metazoa; Platyhelminthes; Trematoda; Strigeidida; Schistosomatidae. The record is from RNAcentral.